This is a non-coding RNA of Danio rerio (zebrafish), 72 nucleotides long. The record is from Rfam. NCBI's taxonomy places the organism in Eukaryota, Metazoa, Chordata, Actinopteri, Cypriniformes, Danionidae.
GGCUCGGUAGUCUAGGGGUAUGAUUCUCGCUUUGGUUGCGAGAGGACCCGGGUUCAAAUCCCGAACGAGCUG